CCUACGGGAGGCAGCAGUAGGGAAUCUUCCACAAUGGGCGAAAGACUGAUGGAGCAACGCCGCGUGGGUGAAGAAGGUCUUCGGAUCGUAAAACCCUGUUGUUAGAGAAGAAAGUGCGUGAGAGUAACUGUUCACGUUUCGACGGUAUCUAACCAGAAAGCCACGGCUAACUACGUGCCAGCAGCCGCGGUAAUACGUAGGUGGCAAGCGUUAUCCGGAUUUUUUGGGCGUAAAGGGAAUGCAGGCGGUCUUUUAAGUCUGAUGUGAAAGCCUUCGGCUUAACCGGAGUAGUGCAUUGGAAACUGGGAGACUUGAGUGCAGAAGAGGAGAGUGGAACUCCAUGUGUAGCGGUGAAAUGCGUAGAUAUAUGGAAGAACACCAGUGGCGAAAGCGGCUCUCUGGUCUGUAACUGACGCUGAGGUUCGAAAGCGUGGGUAGCAAACAGGAUUAGAUACCCGAGUAGUC
This 465-nucleotide ribosomal RNA is filed under the name uncultured bacterium. Its description in RNAcentral is "partial 16S ribosomal RNA". It matches the Rfam family "Bacterial small subunit ribosomal RNA", at positions 338 to 795 of the family's 1533-position model. The record is from RNAcentral.